Molecule: long non-coding RNA, 252 nt
Filed under: Ananas comosus (pineapple)
Lineage: Eukaryota; Viridiplantae; Streptophyta; Magnoliopsida; Poales; Bromeliaceae
Description: long non-coding RNA (ACOM_LNC013689)
Source: RNAcentral
AAUUAAAUGUAUCUGCAAUAACUGUAAUACUGGUGUAGUAAUAACGUACGUGACUUUCAAAUUAUUAUAUGAUUGCCACACUAUAAUGCCAUCACACUAGCUAGACAAGAAAAGAUUGAGAAAAGGUAUUAUUGUUUGUAUCAACUAGAUCUUCCAUACACUUCAAGCAAAAGUUAAACAAGAAGAUUUUCAAGUCAAAAUCCGAUCAUAAUGUGCAAAAUUUCAAAUAUCUACAUACAAAAAGUUAUAAAG